Long non-coding RNA from Dreissena polymorpha, 2619 nucleotides. RefSeq lists it as uncharacterized. Lineage: Eukaryota; Metazoa; Mollusca; Bivalvia; Myida; Dreissenidae. The transcript is spliced from 5 exons. The record is from RefSeq and is a predicted model, not a curated record.
AUUAUCUCCCAUGUUUGUAAAAAUUUGAUUUACUUUCAUGCAACCAUUUGAUUGAGAAAAAAUGAUUACAGAUUUGCGAGGUGACCAGUUUCCAGACAUUGGUUCGCUCCUGCUUGUGUACGCGAUUGGCCGAGACUAAAAAAACUGUAGUGUGCCACCUUAAGGUUUUAGUCGUUUGCUUGUAAGGCAAGAUUGUCCCUGGAGAAGAACUAAAAUACGUCAACAGCCUUGUAAGCGGAAAGACACUCCGUUGCAGUUACUGAAGAUUUGCGAGGUGACCAGUUUCCAGACAUUGGUUCGCUCCUGCUUGUGUACGCGAUUGGCCGAGACUAAAAAAACUGUAGUGUGCCACUUUUUGUUGUUGUGCGACAUGAUGGAAUACGUAUGGUUUGCGGUAGAUGUCGUAAAGCGAAAGUCGUGAUAGUGAACUACGUACGGUUUGCGAUGAUACCACUAUUUUUAGUUAAAUUAGAUGAAAGCACAUUAAACAGCAUUAAGUUUACCUUGAUGAUCACAGACAGCUUGGACAUUUAUGCUGUGAAAGCCUUUCCGAUUUACAUACGAAGCUUCAUCACCAUGCGGUGCCUGAAUGCCGACGUGUGUACCAUUUAUGCAGCUAAUUAUGUUCGGGAAUCCAGCAAUUGCAUAGAAGCCUUGUUUUACUCUUUCCUUCUCAGCUGGUGAUGGCCACACAACGAACUUGUGCAUUAAGUGCUUGAAUAUGGCGUUGGCUACAUUUUCAACAACUCUGCUUACCAUACAUUCGUGGAAUACAAGAGUGUCUCCAAUGAACGAAUAAAAUGCUCCAGUACCAAAAAAUCUCAAUGUUAUGAGGAUUUGCUGAAUUGAUGUCAGCGCAUGGUUUCUGUUUGUUUGCCGUUGCAAAUCAUCCUUAUGUAGAUUUUCUAAGAAAGAGACUCAAUUCUUCUAAAAACGAUAACGUGCAAUAAAUUCUUCACCAGUUAAUUCAUCAAGAUGAUGUGACAAUCGAAAUUCCAUUGGUUUCCUAAAUGGCAGAGUGGCUGUAGCAGCCAUUUUGAAACCUAGUGUUAAACUAUUUAAUUGUGCUUUAGACCACAAUUAAAGUUAACGGCAGAAACUGCCGUUUAACUGGCUGUUAAAAGUCAGUGUGAUUUUGAGCAACCCAAUCUUAAUGCUUACGCUGAUUUUAAUAAGCCUGUUAUCAUUUAAUGGUCCAUUAAGACUUAACAUUGCUUUGAAUUCGGUAAAUUUUGGAACCAUCAACCACAUGGCCUUGGACUGAAAAUGAUUGUGGAAGGUGACAGGGACGGAAUAGCGACAUUUCGUUUUUUUGUGAUGUGCUUUCAGGGCUUUGCAAGUAAGAUUGUUGCGUUUUUAUGCGCCCGGUAGGGAUGCAUAUAGCAGUCGUACUAUCUGUCAGUCCGUACGGCAUUCUGUUUUUUUCAGUUUUUGUGGACGAAGUUAUGGGCCUGAUUUUGAGGAAUUAUAGUACAGUCCUAUGAAUAUUAGUGGAUCACUACUCGCUAGUGAUUUGUUUAAUGUCAGUGAUUACUGCCUUAAAUAUUUAUAUCUACAUUGUUAAUAGACAUACUGUUAAUUCAUUUGUCUUCAAAAUGUCAUCAAAAUUGGCUUUUUAAUUGCAGGCCUCGACACUAACUUAUUUUUCAACUAGCCCCAUGUAGAACCUACUAGCCCUGACCAAUCUUUCAUGUGCCCUGACCUAAGUAUUAUUAAAACAUUUAUAUUUAUCAUUAAACUUGUAUGUUCUUGUGUGUGGAGAUGCGCAAUUAUGAUUCAAUCAUUCCCAUUACUAAUAACAACAAAUCGUAAGUGAAUCUUAAAUGUCGCAAAAUAAUGUAUUACAGUAGUUGUAAAAUUGUACAGGGAUAACUCCCUUUAAGUUUUAUACUAAAAGCCGGGAUCAACCUUAUAUAUUAGUUUUGCCAAUUGAAUUGGGUAAAAAAGAUUAUCAAAACACUUAAUUGAUAAAAAAAAAUAAAGUUAUUUCAAGUUGAACAUGUGCAAUGCAUUGAAACCUGUGUAACUGUAGCAGCUUAUUUGCAGAACCCGAAACUCUAACAAAGGGCAGGUGAACUGAUGUGAUUGUACAUGUACCUUUGAAAUAACAACCCCUUGUGACCACUGAAAACCUGUGUCACAGCUAAAGUUCGUCUUGAUCUGUCGACCAACAAGUGCAGGACCACCGGCUGCCAUCAUCUUCUGUUGUUAGGGUCAAUGCGUGCUGGACUAGCUUUUUUUACAUUAUAGGUCAAUUUGUCCAAGUUUAGAGGCACUCUUUUUCAAUCAAUUAACUUUGAUAGUUUAAAUACAUCUUUCUGAGUGUCAUCCUUCGGUUUGUGUUUUUAGACCUGGCUUCAAAACAAUAAUUGAGCUUUAAGCCCUUUCAAUUUGUCAUUUUAGGUUUCAUAUGCAGCCAAAUUAUCAUCAACUUGUUUGUCUGAUUGCCAUAGUCCCCAUUCAAUUAUGGAAUUAGUUAAACCUUCUGAUUUCAGAACUCUUUUCUAUUCGUUGCGUUUCUUCAAACCUUUCCCGCAGCAUUUCCUUUUGCUUUUGUUCAAUCUCUGCUCUCCUUUGCUUUAACAGCAAUCUUGUUUUAGUGACUUCACCCCUUGCGAU